GGAGGUUACAGUGAUGAAUUACAGCUCCCUCUUCUGAUUUAAAGUUGAGGAAACUAGCUGGCAGAAUCGAACCAAUUUAAUUAACGCCACCACUGAGUAA
This is a non-coding RNA of Populus trichocarpa (black cottonwood), 100 nucleotides long. NCBI's taxonomy places the organism in Eukaryota, Viridiplantae, Streptophyta, Magnoliopsida, Malpighiales, Salicaceae. The record is from Rfam.